AGAGCGAACGCUGGCGGCAGGCCUAACACAUGCAAGUCGAACGGAUCCUUCGGGAUUAGUGGCGGACGGGUGAGUAACACGUGGGAAUGUGCCCUUUGGUUCGGAACAACUCAGGGAAACUUGAGCUAAUACCGGAUAAGCCUUUCGAGGGAAAGAUUUAUCGCCAUUGGAGCGGCCCGCGUAGGAUUAGCUAGUUGGUGAGGUAAAAGCUCACCAAGGCGACGAUCCUUAGCUGGUCUGAGAGGAUGAUCAGCCACAUUGGGACUGAGACACGGCCCAAACUCCUACGGAGCAGCAGUGGGAAUCUUGCGCAAUGGGCGAAAGCCUGACGCGAGCCA
This 338-nucleotide ribosomal RNA is filed under the name uncultured soil bacterium. RNAcentral's name for it is "bacterial SSU rRNA". It matches the Rfam family "Bacterial small subunit ribosomal RNA", at positions 26 to 394 of the family's 1533-position model. The record is from RNAcentral.